Molecule: ribosomal RNA, 465 nt
Filed under: uncultured bacterium
Lineage: Bacteria
Description: partial 16S ribosomal RNA
Rfam family: Bacterial small subunit ribosomal RNA
Source: RNAcentral
CCUACGGGUGGCAGCAGUGGGGAAUAUUGCGCAAUGGGCGAAAGCCUGACGCAGCGACGCCGCGUGAGGGAUGAAGGUCUUCGGAUCGUAAACCUCUGUCAGCAGGGAAGAACGGUCACUGUGCUAAUCAGCAGUGAAUUGACGGUACCUGCAAAGGAAGCACCGGCUAACUCCGUGCCAGCAGCCGCGGUAAUACGUAGGGUGCGAGCGUUAAUCGGAAUUACUGGGCGUAAAGCGAUCGUAGGCGGUAUGUCAAGUCAAGGGUGAAAUCCCCGCGCUCAACGUGGGAACUGCCUUUGAAACAGGCAAACUGGAGUGUGUGAGAGGAGAGUGGAAUUCCAGGUGUAGGAGUGAAAUGCGUAGAUAUCUGGAGGAACAUCAGUGGCGAAGGCGACUAUCUGGCACAUAACUGACGCUGAGGAGCGAAAGCGUGGGUAGCAAACAGGAUUAGAUACCCCUGUAGUC